GGACACGGAAGUAAAUCGAGGAUGCGUCUAGUGGAAUGCGAUGCGAAUCGAUCUAGGGAGAUAAAAGGGGAACGGUGUGAAGCUCGAGUGGAUUCCCUUUGGAUGGUUGUUUUACAUCGGUAAUAAAUAUGCAUUCGUCGUGUCGGUAUGGUGAAGAGACUUCUUGAAAUAAGGAUAAGCCACGCGGUCAGGACAGUGAAUUUUAUUGGUCGACGUUCGAUAUCAACCAGUUCGACGAUAUCGAUUACCGAUAGGCUACGGCCACGUAAAUAUAUAAAAACGUCAAUUUUCCAACGAUAUCGAGACGAUGGCUCGAAGUGGAAAAAUUGUCUACGGAUUUUACGAUGCGCAGCGAAGUCGUAAAACGUCGCUUGCUUCCAUUUACCGGACAUUUACCCACUGUAACGCACACUGCCGAAUAUUUCUGUGAAUCCCGAAAUUAAUCUUUCGAUAAAACGUUUCUGUUAAUAAAGGCAAGAGAAUGCAGAAGUGGGGAAAAAGUAUGAAAAGUAUCAAAUGAUCCAAUCGAACAUACGAUGCUUGAAGAUAUAUAGGAAGAUGUGUAGACACCUAUUUCACGUGGUAAUAUUUAAUCGAUACGAUCAAACAUAAUUAUUAAUUAUCCAAUGUAUGGGUAGUACAUGAUCAAGUUUAGUAAUAGCGUUAUAAAUGAUAGUAUUAAAUGUACAAGUAUUAUACGCGUGAAAUUUACGACACGCCUGAUUAUGGUUCGUUAUAUUCCUCUUGAAAUAAACGGUGAUACUUUCGGUGA
Molecule: long non-coding RNA, 772 nt
Organism: Bombus impatiens (common eastern bumble bee)
Lineage: Eukaryota; Metazoa; Arthropoda; Insecta; Hymenoptera; Apidae
Exons: 2
Source: RefSeq, a predicted model, not a curated record